This 552-nucleotide ribosomal RNA is filed under the name uncultured bacterium. RNAcentral's name for it is "partial 16S ribosomal RNA". It matches the Rfam family "Bacterial small subunit ribosomal RNA", at positions 355 to 902 of the family's 1533-position model. The record is from RNAcentral.
UGGGGAAUUUUGGACAAUGGGCGAAAGCCUGAUCCAGCAAUGCCGCGUGUGUGAAGAAGGCCUUCGGGUUGUAAAGCACUUUUGUCCGGAAAGAAAUCCUUGGCUCUAAUACAGUCGGGGGAUGACGGUACCGGAAGAAUAAGCACCGGCUAACUACGUGCCAGCAGCCGCGGUAAUACGUAGGGUGCAAGCGUUAAUCGGAAUUACUGGGCGUAAAGCGUGCGCAGGCGGUUUGCUAAGACCGAUGUGAAAUCCCCGGGCUCAACCUGGGAACUGCAUUGGUGACUGGCAGGCUAGAGUAUGGCAGAGGGGGGUAGAAUUCCACGUGUAGCAGUGAAAUGCGUAGAGAUGUGGAGGAAUACCGAUGGCGAAGGCAGCCCCCUGGGCCAAUACUGACGCUCAUGCACGAAAGCGUGGGGAGCAAACAGGAUUAGAUACCCUGGUAGUCCACGCCCUAAACGAUGUCAACUAGUUGUUGGGAUUCAUUUCUUAGUAACGUAGCUAACGCGUGAAGUUGACCGCCUGGGGAGUACGGUCGCAAGAUUAAAACUC